This is a long non-coding RNA of Daphnia carinata, 858 nucleotides long. RefSeq lists it as uncharacterized. The transcript is spliced from 5 exons. Lineage: Eukaryota; Metazoa; Arthropoda; Branchiopoda; Diplostraca; Daphniidae. The record is from RefSeq and is a predicted model, not a curated record.
UAGGUAACAUGUGUGUAACAUUCGCCAUAUUUUACAUUACGAAGGAUAUUUCAACCAAAAACUCACGGUAUGUUGUUUACAAUCGAGUAAAUCCUUUGCUCUGUAUGUGUUGGGAGGCAAGCACUUCACACCGAUUGAUCUUUUUUUUUGUAUGUGACAGUAUCCCUUGUGAUCAGCCGAACGAGUUACUCACUAGAUACCUAUAGACAACUUAUGUCUACCCAUCGCCAUCAUGCUAUUUCCGAGUGAAAGGAUUCACAUUCUGCCUUCCUCUAUAGCAGGCAUCACAUAUUUAUUACUAUAGAACUACAUGAAACAAAACAGACAAGGGAUGCUGACACUUUUGUGUUGCAGCUUGCUGAUGUUUCCUAUCUGUUUGGUGCAGCAUAUUCAUACAUAUGUUGUGAACUAUCUACCUUUCCAGCGCUAAAACUCAAACAUUCCACAACCAUACAUUGCCAACUUCCACGUAACCAUCAUCUUCUCAGAAGUCUUUACCUCAUCGGUACUUAACCAGCUAACAUUCAUAGGCUUUCACACCGUCACCACACUUUGGAUAGCAAGUACUCAUCAUCCUGCUAUGCAAACGUGUCUUCCCAACAACUACCGUAGUUCUCGUCCCCAAUCGCACGCAGCUACUUUGUCUUCAUCUUCCCACGGGUACGGCAUCAACCCAUCGACGUUCCCGUUAUGCUGUCUUCAUCUGCCGGAGUCAUCUAUAAGUAGCACCAUGGCUGAGCAACAUGCAGAAACUGAUUUAAGGGGGUGCAGCCAAGUCAAAAUCCGGCCAAGCCGUCUUCGCCUUUGCCGUCCUCGCCUUUGCCGUCCUCGCCUUUGCCGUCCUCGCCUUUGCCGUCC